CGAAGCUUUAACGUCCAAAACGAAAAUCCAAAAUUUUGGACUCCAUUAAAGACGGUACACCGCCAACGAAGAAGACAACCCCGAUCUGCCUUCUCGGACCACUUUUCUUGAUCGUUUUGAGGUCCUGAGCAUUGUGGAGAGCUUCCCCAAUCGAAAGGACGCUUCAAGAGCAGUCGGAGACAAAGUUACACUUUACCGGCGACGAAACCGACGAGAACUCCGGCGACACUCCGUUCAGGGGUUUCUGGAGGAUCUUGUUCUCAACAAGGAAAUUCGUUGAGGUGCUCGAGGUAGCAAGUGUGGUCUUAGCAACUGAGGUAAGGGUAAGGCUAAGCAGUGAGAAUGAAGAGCUCGAGGCGUGGACCGCAUGUUAGGGGGGCUGGCACAGUAUUUUGCUUUUAAUGUU
Molecule: long non-coding RNA, 406 nt
Organism: Cannabis sativa
Lineage: Eukaryota; Viridiplantae; Streptophyta; Magnoliopsida; Rosales; Cannabaceae
Exons: 3
Source: RefSeq, a predicted model, not a curated record